Long non-coding RNA from Cornus florida, 2852 nucleotides. RefSeq lists it as uncharacterized. Lineage: Eukaryota; Viridiplantae; Streptophyta; Magnoliopsida; Cornales; Cornaceae. The record is from RefSeq and is a predicted model, not a curated record. The transcript is spliced from 5 exons.
CCCACACGUACACACGCGCGCGCAUGCACAAAAUACACUCACUACCUCUUUCAUUCCCAUAACACCUAGCUCUAAGGAAGAAGAGGAACAUCAAGCUGUACUUCCCAAUCUGUCCCGAAAGAAAUUAGACGGUACAUGAUCAUGAGGAAGAAGACGACAUCAAGCAUGUAGAAUUGGUGAGCCACAUCGAAGCUUCUAGCCGAAAGUAGAAUCCCUACCCUAACAAUUGAAUCUUACCCAUACUUGGUCUCCAAAAAUGCCCUAAUCCUUUUCUUUCUUCCAUUAUUUCUAUUAAGGAGGCAAGAUCAUUUACCCCAUCUGGGCUUGAAGUCGGAGAGUGGAGCGAUCUCAACCAAUUUCGACUCUCUAAACUUGAGGAUCCAGAUUUACCUUCAUUCUUCAGGGAAAACUCUGGAAGUUAAUCAACCACAAUAUGUUGCCUGCCUGAGUAUAUUACGCUCUGGCCUGCAGCGUCCCUUCGUGUAAAUAUUCGUGCAAGCAGAGGAGGAGGAAAUUGAAGAGGAAAAAAGAUAGCCAAAUUUCAGCAUUCGUGGUCCCACAAAAUCCAUAAAUUCGUCCAAAAUGGGUCCAAAAAAAAGGAGGACGGGAGAGAAAUGCUACUGUGACUACAUUAAGGAAUCAAGGAAAUAAUGGAAGCUUUAGCCUUAUAUAAUAUAUGUGUAAAUUCACCCCCAUGUGUCCAGGUGAGUUUGUGACCUUACCUCUUCACAACUAAAGACUUAAUAUAUGACUAUAUAUACUAGCAUUGGCUAGCAAGUUGAUUGACCCAAGCUUGUUAAGUAAGCUAAAACAAUAAAUAAUACUAUAUGCAAAUAUGUGAGACUAAUUUGAUUAGGUUUGUGUGUUGCUGGCAACAAUAUAUACACAUGGAAGUUUUAGCCACUUAAAUGCAUAAUAAUUAUUUAUCUAAAUACUUGAAAACAAUCAGCUCACUUUAAUGAGUAAUAAUUUACUCAUUAAAAGCACACACAAACACACUUUAGUAAAGAACUCACAAAAUCUUAAAAUUUAUUGUAAAAAAUAUUCAAAAUUUUGAUCAAAGUAUCUAACAUUUUUAAUUACCGUAACUCCAAGCCCAUUGUUAUGGUUUAUUCCUCUUUUUGUCUUAAUUUUUCAAAAGACAAAACACAAGAUAUGCUAGUCUUUUACUUCUCUUUAGACUAUUUUUAAAUUCUUAUUAGGACAAGGAGCCGAGCAUGGCUUAUAUCAUCCUUAUCAUCACAUGGUUCUUUGUAAAGAGGCCUAUUGUUGGACUUUUGCUAGCAAAGAAUUAAACUAAUGAAAAUGAUCCCAAAGGCACAGUAAUCCUGACUUAAUCCUUUCAUUUGUAGUUUCUUCUUUGUUCUCGAAGCAGUGACCUCUCAUUGUACCAUCUAGCCCUCUCAUUCUACCAUCUAGCAGCAGCUUACUGAUGCAUUGGUUUGGGCUCCCUUUGGAUUGCUUUAUUGGUUCAGUUUCCAUUCAUAAUAUCAGACUUUAAAAUAAUAAUAACAACAAUAAUGAUAAAAAAAUUAAUAAUAAACUUCCUAGUAAUAAAAUUUGCAUUGCAUUUUGAGGUAAUCACCGUAAUCUACAUCUUAUUUCAGCAAAACAAAUUUUUUUUUCUAUACUUCUCUUUUUUUUUUUUCGUUUUUUUUUUUUUUUUUUUGUCAAUUAUGUCUACAAGAAAAUUUGAAUCUGGGCAUGAAAAAAGAAAGAAAAAAAAAAGAAUCUGAAUUGGAUUGAAUUGGAUUACAAAUCUGCAAAGAUUGAAUCUGAAAUUUUUUUUUAGCAACAUGAACUAGUGGUUUGUUCAUAUAGCUAUUGAAAACACACAUUACAUCCCCACUGUUCUGCUCAUGUGGUGAUUCUGUGGACUAGUGGUUUGUUCAUAUAGCUAUUGAAAACACACAUUACAUCUCCACUUUGAAUUCAUGUUCUAGUUUUUUAAUUGCAUAAUUUUUAAGAAAUAAAAAUUCCUGGUUUGUUCAUGUGGUGUUUUUUUUUUUUUUUUUUCCUAUUCCUUUUAUCUUUCUUAUUCAAUUUUGGACACUGCCUCAUAAAAGCUCUGGUUUAUUUAUUAUGUGCCCAUAAUCCAGCUCUCAUUAAACUGUUCUUUUCUUAGAAGUCAAAAGGAAAAUUUUCUUUUUAAAAUUUCUUCUUCUUGCAUUAGCAUACUUAUCUGAUUUUAAUUACUACACCUCUCUUUUUUGGCUUGUUGUCUUGUUGUAUCAAGUUAUGAUGGUGUUGGCAGUGGCUUUAUUCUCAUAACAAUAUCACCAUUGGUUUUAAUUGGUAUCAUGUACCCCCUGAAAAAUUUGUAAAGCUUUUCAGAAAAUCGUUAACUUAUUAUUGCAUUAGAAACCUUUCUGCAUCUCUCUCUCUUGCAAAAAUGCGUAGUGGGUUCUCACAAUGUGUAAUCACAAUUUGAUAACCUACAUUACUGUGUUUAAUUAAUGGGACACGGCUAUACCUUUAACAAGAAAGUAAGUGCAUAUUGGAACCUUGUUGAAUUGAUGAUUCUGUUUUAUUGGUUACCAUGUGAUAAAAGGAUUUGCUUUUCAACUACUUAUUUUCUGUUAUUUAUGUUCUUAUUUUCCCGGAGCAAUGAAAUUAGGAGCAGAAGGAUCAGAAUCUCCAUGAUUCCAGUCUACAACAAAGGUUUCACAUUGAUUGCAAUAUAGCUCCCCUUUUGGAUUCAGAUUUCUUUUGAGAUUUUGAUGUCUAUGCGAUUAGCAUUGUUUAAUAUUUGGAUUUAUAACAUAACAUUUUGAUAUGUGCUUGAAUUAUCGUUUUAGAUAAUUUGCACAUUUUAAUAUCUAAAUUCUUAAUGGAAUAUGUGUUUUAUCUUC